This 432-nucleotide ribosomal RNA is filed under the name uncultured bacterium. Its description in RNAcentral is "partial 16S ribosomal RNA". It matches the Rfam family "Bacterial small subunit ribosomal RNA", at positions 29 to 506 of the family's 1533-position model. The record is from RNAcentral.
AACGAACGCUGGCGGCAUGCCUAACACAUGCAAGUCGAACGAGACCUUCGGGUCUAGUGGCGCACGGGUGCGUAACGCGUGGGAACCUGCCCUUAGGUUCGGAAUAACUCCCCGAAAGGGGUGCUAAUACCGGAUAAUGUCUUCGGACCAAAGAUUUAUCGCCUUUGGAUGGGCCCGCGUUGGAUUAGCUAGUUGGUAGGGUAAAAGCCUACCAAGGCGACGAUCCAUAGCUGGUCUGAGAGGAUGAUCAGCCACACUGGGACUGAGACACGGCCCAGACUCCUCGGGGAGGGAGCGGUGGGGAAUUUGGGAAAAGGGGCGAAAGCCUGACCCAGCAAGCCCGGGGGGGUGAUGAAGGCCUUAGGGUUGUAAAGCUCUUUUCCCCGGGAUGAUAAUGCCAGUACCGGGAAAAUAAGCCCCGCCUAACUCCGG